RNAcentral lists this ribosomal RNA (464 nucleotides) under uncultured bacterium. Its description in RNAcentral is "partial 16S ribosomal RNA". It matches the Rfam family "Bacterial small subunit ribosomal RNA", at positions 28 to 506 of the family's 1533-position model. The record is from RNAcentral.
GACGAACGCUGGCGGCGUGCUUAACACAUGCAAGUCGUACGGUAAGGCCCUUUCGGGGGUCCACGAGUGGCGCACGGGUGAGUAACACGUGAGUAACCUGCCCACAACUUUGGGAUAACGCUAGGAAACUGGUGCUAAUACUGGAUAUGUGCUCCUGCUGCAUGGUGGGGGUUGGAAAGCUCCGGCGGUUGUGGAUGGACUCGCGGCCUAUCAGCUUGUUGGUGGGGUAGUGGCCUACCAAGGCGGCGACGGGUAGCCGGCCUGAGAGGGUGACCGGCCACAUUGGGACUGAGAUACGGCCCAGACUCCUACGGGAGGCAGCAGUGGGGAAUAUUGCACAAUGGGCGCAAGCCUGAUGCAGCAACGCCGCGUGCGGGAUGACGGCCUUCGGGUUGUAAACCGCUUUCAGCAGGGACGAAGCUUUUUGUGACGGUACCUGCAGAAGAAGCACCGGCUAACUACGU